UGGUUUGAUCCUGGCUCAGGACGAACGCUGGCGGCGUGCCUAAUACAUGCAAGUCGAGCGAAUCUUUGGGAGCUUGCUCCCAUUGGUUAGCGGCGGACGGGUGAGUAACACGUGGGCAACCUGCCUGUAAGACUGGGAUAACUUCGGGAAACCGGAGCUAAUACCGGAUAAUUCUUUUCCUCUCAUGAGGAAAAGCUGAAAGACGGUUUACGCUGUCACUUACAGAUGGGCCCGCGGCGCAUUAGCUAGUUGGUGAGGUAACGGCUCACCAAGGCGACGAUGCGUAGCCGACCUGAGAGGGUGAUCGGCCACACUGGGACUGAGACACGGCCCAGACUCCUACGGGAGGCAGCAGUAGGGAAUCUUCCACAAUGGACGAAAGUCUGAUGGAGCAACGCCGCGUGAGCGAUGAAGGCCUUCGGGUCGUAAAGCUCUGUUGUUAGGGAAGAACAAGUACCGGAGUAACUGCCGGUACCUUGACGGUACCUAACCAGAAAGCCACGGCUAACUACGUGCCAGCAGCCGCGGUAAUAA
This 534-nucleotide ribosomal RNA is filed under the name uncultured bacterium. Its description in RNAcentral is "bacterial SSU rRNA". It matches the Rfam family "Bacterial small subunit ribosomal RNA", at positions 9 to 526 of the family's 1533-position model. The record is from RNAcentral.